Daphnia pulex (common water flea) is the source of this 805-nucleotide long non-coding RNA. RefSeq lists it as uncharacterized. The record is from RefSeq and is a predicted model, not a curated record. NCBI's taxonomy places the organism in Eukaryota, Metazoa, Arthropoda, Branchiopoda, Diplostraca, Daphniidae. The transcript is spliced from 5 exons.
AAACAAUGUCCGCUCUAGCUCGUUGACAUUCAAUUGAAAGAACUGGCAAACAAAGCCACCACGCAGCAUCACACAUCACAAAAGACGAAAUUCCCAAGGUGAUAUUGAACGCCACUUUAACUUCUACACUGAGGAGAAGGCACUCAAGACAGAUAUCCGUUCAUGUUGUCUGCAAGUGAUUCCAGACGUUUCAGCACCUGUGCUGGACAGUGGAUUGCUGAAAGGGAAAACACCCAAUUGGUUUCGAUGGCCAUUAAUAAUUGGAGAGCAGCAUUGGAAUGCAACAGCUUGUCUGGCUUCGUCUGGACCUAAGUUACUUCUAGAGAACCUUGAAUAACUGAUCAGUGGUUUCGUGUGUUCUUAGAAUUUAUGAGUCCUUGAAGAAAAAGGACAAUGGCAAUACAGUGGUAAACCCGAUGGCUGAGGUAUGGCUCCCUCUUGAUUUGAGGGGUAACUCCUUUGCUAAUUUUAAUGGACUUCAUCCAAUUGGUAAAAGCUGACAAGAGAAUGCUGUGAUUCAAGACUGAUAGAUUGUGUAGUUGUUAGAUAAAUCACAAGUGUAUAUCUGGGCUCCCUUCUUUACUGUGGUCUGAUCUCCCUGGCUACAGUCAAUUAAGGCAGUGUGACCCCCGUCUUCAUUGACUACCUGUGCAAGUUUUAGAAGCAGUUUAUCACCCAAAUGGAACAAAAGGAGUUUGUUAGGCUUCUUUUAUUUGGGUAUAAUUGGUUUUAAAACUUGCACAGAAAAACAACUGUCUUGUACCGGACGCUUUGUUUAUUAGAUUACAACCAUUUUGAUUAAAAA